RNAcentral lists this ribosomal RNA (369 nucleotides) under uncultured Gammaproteobacteria bacterium. RNAcentral's name for it is "bacterial SSU rRNA". It matches the Rfam family "Bacterial small subunit ribosomal RNA", at positions 425 to 786 of the family's 1533-position model. The record is from RNAcentral. Lineage: Bacteria; Pseudomonadati; Pseudomonadota; Gammaproteobacteria.
GUAAAGCACUUUCAGUGGGGAGGAAAGGUUAGUAGUUAAUACCUGCUANCUGUGACGUUACCCACAGAAGAAGCACCGGCUAACUCCGUGCCAGCAGCCGCGGUAAUACGGAGGGUGCAAGCGUUAAUCGGAAUUACUGGGCGUAAAGCGCGCGUAGGCGGCUUAUUAAGUCGGAUGUGAAAGCCCUGGGCUUAACCUAGGAACUGCAUACGAUACUGGUAAGCUAGAGUACGAGAGAGGGUGGUAGAAUUUCUAGUGUAGCGGUGAAAUGCGUANAUAUUANAAGGAAUACCGGUGGCGAAGGCGGCCACCUGGCUCGAUACUGACGCUGAGGUGCGAAAGCNUGGGGAGCAAACAGGAUUAGAUACC